RNAcentral lists this ribosomal RNA (475 nucleotides) under uncultured bacterium. RNAcentral's name for it is "bacterial SSU rRNA". It matches the Rfam family "Bacterial small subunit ribosomal RNA", at positions 25 to 518 of the family's 1533-position model. The record is from RNAcentral.
CAGGAUGGACGCUGGCGGCGUGCUUAACACAUGCAAGUCGAACGGAGAUAUCGGCUUCGGCUGAUAUCUCAGUGGCGGACGGGUGAGUAACGCGUGGUAACCUGCCUUACACCGGGGACAACAGUUGGAAACGACUGCUAAUACCGCAUAAGACCACGGAGCCGCAUGGCCCUGGGGUAAAAGAUUUAUCGAUGUAAGAUGGACCCGCGUCUGAUUAGCCAGUUGGCGGGGUAACGGCCCACCAAAGCUACGAUCAGUAGCCGACCUGAGAGGGUGAUCGGCCACAUUGGGACUGAGACACGGCCCAAACUCCUACGGGAGGCAGCAGUGGGGAAUAUUGGGCAAUGGGCGCAAGCCUGACCCAGCCGACGCCGCGUGAGUGAAGAAGUAUUUCGGUAUGUAAAGCUCUAUCAGCAGGGAAGACAAUGACGGUACCUGACUAAGAAGCACCGGCUAAAUACGUGCCAGCAGCGGC